This 497-nucleotide ribosomal RNA is filed under the name uncultured bacterium. RNAcentral describes it as "partial 16S ribosomal RNA". It matches the Rfam family "Bacterial small subunit ribosomal RNA", at positions 28 to 507 of the family's 1533-position model. The record is from RNAcentral.
GACGAACGCUGGCGGCGUGCCUAAUACAUGCGAGUUGAGCGAUGAAGAUUGGUGCUUGCACCAAUUUGAAGAGCAGCGAACGGGUGAGUAACGCGUGGGGAAUCUGCCUUUGAGCGGGGGACAACAUUUGGAAACGAAUGCUAAUACCGCAUAACAACUUUAAACAUAAGUUUUAAGUUUGAAAGAUGCAAUUGCAUCACUCAAAGAUGAUCCCGCGUUGUAUUAGCUAGUUGGUGAGGUAAAGGCUCACCAAGGCGAUGAUACAUAGCCGACCUGAGAGGGUGAUCGGCCACAUUGGGACUGAGACACGGCCCAAACUCCUACGGGAGGCAGCAGUAGGGAAUCUUCGGCAAUGGACGAAAGUCUGGCCGAGCAACGCCGCGUGAGUGAAGAAGGUUUUCGGAUCGUAAAACUCUGUUGGUAGAGAAGAACGUUGGUGAGAGUGGAAAGCUCAUCAAGUGACGGUAACUACCCAGAAAGGGACGGCUAACUACGUG